AUGAACGCUGGCGGCGUGCCUAAGACAUGCAAGUCGAGUGGGUUUAGGCCCACGGCGAACGGGUGAGUAAUAUCUAGGAACUUUUCAUAAGUCGAGCAUAUCCCACCGAAAGGUGGAGCAAUUCUCGAUGUGGCUGUAAGGCUAAAGUCGCAAGACGCUUAUGGUGAGGCCUGGAUCCCAUCAGCUAGUUGGUAAGGUAAUGGCUUACCAAGGCUACGACGGGUAGGGGUCCCGAGAGGGAUAACCCCCACACUGGAACUGCGACACGGUCCAGACGCCUACGGGAGGCAGCAGGUUGGAAUGUUGGACAAUGGGCGAAAGCCUGAGCCAGCGACGCCGCGUGGACGAUGAAGGUCUUCGGAUCGGAAAGUCCUUUUGUCAGGGAAGAAUAGUUGAAGGUACCUGACGAAUAAGAGGUUGCUAACUCUGU
This 430-nucleotide ribosomal RNA is filed under the name uncultured bacterium. RNAcentral describes it as "bacterial SSU rRNA". It matches the Rfam family "Bacterial small subunit ribosomal RNA", at positions 29 to 506 of the family's 1533-position model. The record is from RNAcentral.